GAGACCGUAGCUCAGGUGGUAGAGCAGCAGAAACUCCAGUGCCGACUCCUUGCCCGAUCACGGGCCGCAGGCACCGGGUUAUCGAUAACCUGCCGGUCGUGGGUUCGAGUCCCACCGGUCUCC
RNAcentral lists this transfer RNA (123 nucleotides) under Gemmatimonadales bacterium. RNAcentral describes it as "tRNA-OTHER". It matches the Rfam family "tRNA". From Rfam's summary of the family: Transfer RNA (tRNA) molecules are approximately 80 nucleotides in length. Their secondary structure includes four short double-helical elements and three loops (D, anti-codon, and T loops). The record is from RNAcentral. Lineage: Bacteria; Pseudomonadati; Gemmatimonadota; Gemmatimonadia; Gemmatimonadales.